UACGAGGGGUGCAAGCGUUAUUCGGAAUAACUGGGCGUAAAGAGUGCGUAGAUGGUAUAUUAAGUCUGUUGUUAAAUCUUCCGACUCAACCGGAAACAUGCAAUGGAAACUGAUAUGCUAGAGGAUGGAAGAGAGAAGUGGAAUUCUCGGAGUAGCGGUAAAAUGCGUAGAUCUCGAGAGGAACACCAAUGGCGAAGGCAGCUUCUUGGUCCAUUCCUGACGUUGAGGUACGAAAGCGUGGGGAGCAAACAGG
Molecule: ribosomal RNA, 253 nt
Filed under: uncultured bacterium
Lineage: Bacteria
Description: partial 16S ribosomal RNA
Rfam family: Bacterial small subunit ribosomal RNA
Source: RNAcentral